Molecule: ribosomal RNA, 255 nt
Filed under: uncultured bacterium
Lineage: Bacteria
Description: partial 16S ribosomal RNA
Rfam family: Bacterial small subunit ribosomal RNA
Source: RNAcentral
GACAGAGGUCACGAGCGUUAUCCGGAAUCACUGGGCGUAAAGCGUGUGUAGGCGAAGCAGUAAGUCGGGGGUUAAAUCUCCAAGCUCAACUUGGAAUCUGUUCCCGAAACUACUGCUCUAAAGAAGAACGGAGAGGCAAGUGGAAUUCUGUGUGUAGGGGUAAAAUCCGUAGAUACACGGAGGAACGCCAAAAGCGAAAGCAGCUUGCCGGCCGUCUCUUGACGCUGAGACACGAAAGCGUGGGGAGCAAACAGG